This 393-nucleotide ribosomal RNA is filed under the name uncultured bacterium. Its description in RNAcentral is "partial 16S ribosomal RNA". It matches the Rfam family "Bacterial small subunit ribosomal RNA", at positions 523 to 918 of the family's 1533-position model. The record is from RNAcentral.
AUACGGAGGCCGCGAGCGUUAUCCGGAUUCAUUGGGUUUAAAGGGUGCGCAGGCGGGAGAUUAAGUCGGCGGGGAAAUUUUGCAGCUCAACUGUAAAAGGGGCUUCGAAAAUGGUUUCCUUGAGUGUAGAUGAAGUAGGCGGAAUUUGUGGUGUAGCGGGGAAAUGCAUAGAUAUCAUGAAGAACUCCGAUUGCGAAGGCAGUCCGCUGGGGCACGUCUGACGCUGAUGCUCGAAGGUGCGGGAAUCAAACAGGAUUAGAUACCCUGGUAGUCCGCACGGUAAACGAUGAUUACCCGCUGUCGGCGGCAGACAGUCGGCGGCCAAGCGAAAGCGAUAAGUAAUCCACCUGGGGAGUACGCCGGCAACGGUGAAACUCAAAGGAAUUGACGGGG